CUUUAACUGUAGAUCAUUUACCAUUUAAACAGAUUUGAGAUAUCUAUUGUCGUUUUAGAGAUAACGCAGUUUGAAAUUUUGCGAGCGGCGGCAUGUAUUUCUGAAUCAACAACAGCUAACCACUUAAAAUGUUUAAGAAAUUGAAGAGAUUAACUUAGUUAUAUGUUUAACCAAAUACCAAAAACAUUCCAAUAAAAAAACACCAAAAAAUCAUUUUGAAAUUUUCAUGUUUU
Molecule: long non-coding RNA, 233 nt
Filed under: Mytilus galloprovincialis (Mediterranean mussel)
Lineage: Eukaryota; Metazoa; Mollusca; Bivalvia; Mytilida; Mytilidae
Source: RNAcentral